AUAAGGAAUAGUUAGUGGCAGACGGGUGAGUAAUGCAUAGGAAUCUACCUAGUAGUAUGGGAUAGCCACUAGAAAUGGUGGGUAAUACUGUAUAAUCCCUGCGGGGGAAAGAUUUAUCGCUAUUAGAUGAGCCUAUGUUAGAUUAGCUAGUUGGUAGGGUAAAGGCCUACCAAGGCGAUGAUCUAUAGCUGGUCUGAGAGGAUGAUCAGCCACACUGGAACUGAGAUACGGUCCAGACUCCUACGGGAGGCAGCAGUGGGGAAUAUUGGACAAUGGGCGCAAGCCUGAUCCAGCUAUGCCGCAUGAGUGAGGAAGGCCUUAGGGUUGUAAAACUCUUUCAGUAGGGAAGAUAAUGACGGUACCUACAGAAGAAGUCCCGGCAAACUCCGUGCCAGCAGCCGCGGUAAUACGGAGGGGGCAAGCGUUGUUCGGAAUUAUUGGGCGUAAAGGGCAUGUAGGCGGUUCGGUAAGUUAAAGGUGAAAUGCCAGGGCUUAAC
RNAcentral lists this ribosomal RNA (497 nucleotides) under Anaplasma phagocytophilum. Its description in RNAcentral is "bacterial SSU rRNA". It matches the Rfam family "Bacterial small subunit ribosomal RNA", at positions 81 to 613 of the family's 1533-position model. The record is from RNAcentral. Lineage: Bacteria; Pseudomonadati; Pseudomonadota; Alphaproteobacteria; Rickettsiales; Anaplasmataceae.